CAAUAGCGUAUAUUAAAGUUGUUGCGGUAAAAAAGCUCGUAGUUGGAUUUCUGUUGAGAGCGACCGGUCCAUACCAUGUAUGCGUAUCUGGCUUGCUCUCGGCAUCCUCUCGAUAGACGUUACUGCGCUUGAUUGCGUGGUGCGGAUCUCGGGACUUUUACUUUGAGGAAAUUAGAGUGUUCACGGCAGGCUUUCGCCAGAAUACAUUAGCAUGGAAUAAUACUAUAGGAUCUUGGUUCUAUUUUGUUGGUUUCUAGAAUUGAGAUAAUGAUUAAUAGGGACAAUUGGGGGCAUUCGUAUCAACACGUCAGAGGUGGAAUUCUUGGAUUGUGUUGCGACGAACUACUGCGAAAGCAUCUGCCAAGGAUGUUUUCAUUGA
Molecule: ribosomal RNA, 379 nt
Filed under: uncultured eukaryote
Lineage: Eukaryota
Description: partial 18S ribosomal RNA
Rfam family: Eukaryotic small subunit ribosomal RNA
Source: RNAcentral